Molecule: ribosomal RNA, 345 nt
Filed under: Sporidiobolales sp. c2
Lineage: Eukaryota; Fungi; Basidiomycota; Microbotryomycetes; Sporidiobolales
Description: bacterial SSU rRNA
Rfam family: Eukaryotic small subunit ribosomal RNA
Source: RNAcentral
UGGCUUUGGCUAGCUGCUGUCUUCUUUAGAAGGGACUUCUCAGCGUUUUAGCUGAAUGGAAGUUUGAGGCAAUAACAGGUCUGUGAUGCCCUUAGAUUGUUCUGGGCCGCACGCGCGCUACACUGACAGAGCCAGCGAGUCUACCACCUUUGCCGGAAGGCAUGGGUAAUCUUGUGAAACUCUGUCGUGAUGGGGAUAGAACAUUGCAAUUAUUGUUCUUCAACGAGGAAUACCUAGUAAGCGUGAUUCAUCAGAUCGCGUUGAUUACGUCCCUGCCCUUUGUACACACCGCCCGUCGCUACUACCGAUUGAAUGGCUCCGUGCCCCCGCCCCGCCCGCCGCGCG